This 468-nucleotide ribosomal RNA is filed under the name uncultured bacterium. Its description in RNAcentral is "partial 16S ribosomal RNA". It matches the Rfam family "Bacterial small subunit ribosomal RNA", at positions 28 to 507 of the family's 1533-position model. The record is from RNAcentral.
GACGAACGCUGGCGGCGUGCUUAACACAUGCAAGUCGAACGGAAAGGCCCUGCUUUUGUGGGGUGCUCGAGUGGCGAACGGGUGAGUAACACGUGAGUAACCUGCCCUUGACUUUGGGAUAACUUCAGGAAACUGGGGCUAAUACCGGAUAGGAGCUCCUGCUGCAUGGUGGGGGUUGGAAAGUUUCGGCGGGUGGGGAUGGACUCGCGGCUUAUCAGCUUGUUGGUGGGGUAGUGGCUUACCAAGGCUUUGACGGGUAGCCGGCCUGGGAGGGUGACCGGGCACAUUGGGACUGAGGUACGGACCAGACUCGUACGGGAGGCAGCAGUGGGGAAUAUUGCACAAUGGGCGGAAGCCUGAUGCAGCAACGCCGCGUGCGGGAUGACGGCCUUCGGGUUGUAAACCGCUUUCGCCUGUGACGAAGCGUGAGUGACGGUAAUGGGUAAAGAAGCACCGGCUAACUACGUG